UGAUGAAGAAGGGUUUCGGCUCGUAAAACUCUGUUGUUAAAGAAGAACAUAUCUGAGAGUAACUGUUCAGGUAUUGACGGUAUUUAACCAGAAAGCCACGGCUAACUACGUGCCAGCAGCCGCGGUAAUACGUAGGUGGCAAGCGUUGUCCGGAUUUAUUGGGCGUAAAGCGAGCGCAGGCGGUUUUUUAAGUCUGAUGUGAAAGCCUUCGGCUCAACCGAAGAAGUGCAUCGGAAACUGGGAAACUUGAGUGCAGAAAAGGACAGUGGAACUCCAUGUGUAGCGGUGAAAUGCGUAGAUAUAUGGAAGAACACCAGUGGCGAAGGCGGCUGUCUGGUCUGUAACUGACGCUGAGGCUCGAAAGUAUGGGUAGCAAACAGGAUUAGAUACCCUGGUAGUCCAUACCGUAAACGAUGAAUGCUAAGUGUUGGAGGGUUUCCCCCCUU
This 446-nucleotide ribosomal RNA is filed under the name Lactiplantibacillus plantarum. RNAcentral's name for it is "bacterial SSU rRNA". It matches the Rfam family "Bacterial small subunit ribosomal RNA", at positions 401 to 840 of the family's 1533-position model. Lineage: Bacteria; Bacillati; Bacillota; Bacilli; Lactobacillales; Lactobacillaceae. The record is from RNAcentral.